UACGUAGGGGGCAAGCGUUGUCCGGAAUUACUGGGCGUAAAGCGCGUGUAGGCGGGUCGGCAAGUCGGACGUGAAAGGCUCGGGCUCAACCCGAGAAGGCCGUUCGAAACUGCCGUUCUUGAGGGUCGAAGAGGAGAGUGGAAUUCCUGGUGUAGCGGUGAAAUGCGUAGAGAUCAGGAGGAACACCCGUGGCGAAGGCGGCGCUCUGGUCGACAUCUGACGCUGAGACGCGAAAGCGUGGGGAGCGAACGGG
RNAcentral lists this ribosomal RNA (253 nucleotides) under uncultured bacterium. RNAcentral's name for it is "partial 16S ribosomal RNA". It matches the Rfam family "Bacterial small subunit ribosomal RNA", at positions 524 to 776 of the family's 1533-position model. The record is from RNAcentral.